UCCUGUGACAUGUACUGCUGCUGGCGCU
RNAcentral lists this non-coding RNA (28 nucleotides) under Homo sapiens (human). The record is from RNAcentral. Lineage: Eukaryota; Metazoa; Chordata; Mammalia; Primates; Hominidae.